Molecule: ribosomal RNA, 303 nt
Filed under: uncultured Fusobacterium sp.
Lineage: Bacteria; Fusobacteriati; Fusobacteriota; Fusobacteriia; Fusobacteriales; Fusobacteriaceae
Description: bacterial SSU rRNA
Rfam family: Bacterial small subunit ribosomal RNA
Source: RNAcentral
GGCUACACACGUGCUACAAUGGGUAGUACAGAGAGUCGCAAAGCCGUGAGGUGGAGCUAAUCUCAGAAAACUAUUCUUAGUUCGGAUUGUACUCUGCAACUCGAGUACAUGAAGUUGGAAUCGCUAGUAAUCGCGAAUCAGCAAUGUCACGGUGAAUACGUUCUCGGGUCUUGUACACACCGCCCGUCACACCACGAGAGUUGGUUGCACCUGAAGUAGCAGGCCUAACCGCAAGGAGGGAUGCUCCGAGGGUGUGAUUAGCGAUUGGGGUGAAGUCGUAACAAGGUAUCCGUACGGGAACGU